This 781-nucleotide ribosomal RNA is filed under the name uncultured bacterium. RNAcentral's name for it is "bacterial SSU rRNA". It matches the Rfam family "Bacterial small subunit ribosomal RNA", at positions 56 to 820 of the family's 1533-position model. The record is from RNAcentral.
UGCAGUCGAACGCGAAAGUCCCGCAAGGGAUAAGUAGAGUGGCAAACGGGUGAGUAACACGUGGGUGACCUGCCUUCGAGCGGGGGAUAACGUCCCGAAAGGGACGCUAAUACCGCAUGACAUCCUGCCUUUGAAGAGGUGGAGAUCAAAGCUGGGGAUCGCAAGACCCAGCACUCGAAGAGGGGCCCGCGCCUGAUUAGCUAGUUGGUGAGGUAACGGCUCACCAAGGCAACGAUCAGUAGCCGGCCUGAGAGGGCGGACGGCCACACUGGGACUGAGACACGGCCCAGACUCCUACGGGAGGCAGCAGUGGGGAAUUGUUCGCAAUGGGCGCAAGCCUGACGACGCAACGCCGCGUGGAGGACGAAGACCUUCGGGUCGUAAACUCCUUUCGAUCGAGACGAAUGGCCUCCGGGUGAACAGUCCGGAGGAGUGACGGUACCGAGAGAAGAAGCCCCGGCUAACUCCGUGCCAGCAGCCGCGGUAAUACGGGGGGGGCAAGCGUUGUUCGGAAUUACUGGGCGUAAAGGGCUCGUAGGCGGCCAACUAAGUCAGACGUGAAAUCCCUCGGCUUAACCGGGGAACUGCGUCUGAUACUGGAUGGCUUGAGAUUGGGAGAGGGAUGCGGAAUUCCAGGUGUAGCGGUGAAAUGCGUAGAUAUCUGGAGGAACACCGGUGGCGAAGCGGCAUCCUGGACCAACACUGACGCUGAGGAGCGAAAGCCAGGGGAGCAAACGGGAUAGAUACCCCGGUAGUCCUGGCCUAAACGAUGAAUGCUUGG